RNAcentral lists this ribosomal RNA (464 nucleotides) under uncultured bacterium. RNAcentral's name for it is "bacterial SSU rRNA". It matches the Rfam family "Bacterial small subunit ribosomal RNA", at positions 339 to 796 of the family's 1533-position model. The record is from RNAcentral.
CUACGGGAGGCAGCAGUGGGGAAUCUUGCGCAAUGGGCGAAAGCCUGACGCAGCGACGCCGCGUGCGGGAAGAAGGCCUUAGGGUUGUAAACCGCUUUCAGGAGGGACGAAGCCACUCGGGUGAACAGCCCAGAGGGUGACGGUACCUCCAGAAGAGGCCCCGGCUAACUACGUGCCAGCAGCCGCGGUAAUACGUAGGGGGCAAGCGUUGUCCGGAUUCAUUGGGCGUAAAGAGCGUGUAGGCGGCCAGGUAGGUCGGUUGUGAAAACUGGAGGCUCAACCUUCAGACGUCGACCGAAACCCCCUGGCUAGAGUCCGGGAGAGGAGAGUGGAAUUCCUGGUGUAGCGGUGGAAUGCGCAGAUAUCAGGAAGAACACCCGUGGCGAAAGCGGCUCUCUGGAACGGUACUGACGCUGAGACGCGAAAGCGUGGGGAGCGAACAGGAUUAGAAACCCGAGUAGUCC